This 72-nucleotide transfer RNA is filed under the name Bos taurus (domestic cattle). It matches the Rfam family "tRNA". From Rfam's summary of the family: Transfer RNA (tRNA) molecules are approximately 80 nucleotides in length. Their secondary structure includes four short double-helical elements and three loops (D, anti-codon, and T loops). Further hydrogen bonds mediate the characteristic L-shaped molecular structure. tRNAs have two regions of fundamental functional importance: the anti-codon, which is responsible for specific mRNA codon recognition, and the 3' end, to which the tRNAs corresponding amino acid is attached (by aminoacyl-tRNA synthetases). tRNAs cope with the degeneracy of the genetic code in two manners: having more than one tRNA (with a specific anti-codon) for a particular amino acid; and 'wobble' base-pairing, i.e. permitting non-standard base-pairing at the 3rd anti-codon position. The record is from Rfam by way of RNAcentral. Lineage: Eukaryota; Metazoa; Chordata; Mammalia; Artiodactyla; Bovidae. RNAcentral also lists the same sequence under 5 other names.
UCCCUGGUGGUCUAGUGGUUAGGACUUGGCACUUUUACUGCCUGCACCUGGGUUCAAUCCCUGGUUGGGGAA